RNAcentral lists this ribosomal RNA (253 nucleotides) under Fusicatenibacter saccharivorans. Its description in RNAcentral is "partial 16S ribosomal RNA". It matches the Rfam family "Bacterial small subunit ribosomal RNA", at positions 524 to 776 of the family's 1533-position model. The record is from RNAcentral. Lineage: Bacteria; Bacillati; Bacillota; Clostridia; Lachnospirales; Lachnospiraceae.
UACGUAGGGGGCAAGCGUUAUCCGGAUUUACUGGGUGUAAAGGGAGCGUAGACGGCAAGGCAAGUCUGAAGUGAAAGCCCGGUGCUUAACGCCGGGAUUGCUUUGGAAACUGUUUGGCUGGAGUGCCGGAGAGGUAAGCGGAAUUCCUAGUGUAGCGGUGAAAUGCGUAGAUAUUAGGAAGAACACCAGUGGCGAAGGCGGCUUACUGGACGGUAACUGACGUUGAGGCUCGAAAGCGUGGGGAGCAAACAGG